Molecule: transfer RNA, 74 nt
Filed under: Nicotiana tabacum (common tobacco)
Lineage: Eukaryota; Viridiplantae; Streptophyta; Magnoliopsida; Solanales; Solanaceae
Description: tRNA-Met
Source: RNAcentral
GCGUGUGGUGAGAUGUUCCAAGCCCGGUAUCUACUGAUUUUGCCAUUCCUAUGAUUCAAAGGAUUCACCAGCUA